RNAcentral lists this ribosomal RNA (454 nucleotides) under uncultured bacterium. RNAcentral's name for it is "bacterial SSU rRNA". It matches the Rfam family "Bacterial small subunit ribosomal RNA", at positions 8 to 507 of the family's 1533-position model. The record is from RNAcentral.
AGAGUUUGAUCAUGGCUCAGAGCGAACGCUGGCGGCAGGCCUAAAACAUGCAAGUCGAACGGAUCCUUCGGGAUUAGUGGCGGACGGGUGAGUAACACGUGGGAACGUGCCUUUUGGUUCGGAACAACUCAGGGAAACUUGAGCUAAUACCGAAUGUGCCCUUCGGGGGAAAGAUUUAUCGCCAUUAGAGCGGCCCGCGUCUGAUUAGCUUGUUGGUGAGGUAAAAGGCUCACCAAGGCGACGAUCAGUAGCUGGUCUGAGAGGAUGAUCAGCCACACUGGGACUGAGACACGGCCCAGACUCCUACGGGAGGCUGCAGUUAGGAAUCUUGCGCAAUGGGGGAAACCCUGACGCAGCCAUGCCGCGUGAAUGAUUAAGGUCUUAGGAUUGUAAAAUUCUUUCAGCGGGGACGAUAAUGACGGUACCCGCAGAAGAAGCCCCGGCUAACUUCGUG